UAAGACUGGGAUAACUCCGGGAAACCGGGGCUAAUACCGGAUAACAUUUUGAACCGCAUGGUUCGAAAUUGAAAGGUGGCUUCGGCUGCCACUUAUGGAUGGACCCGCGUCGCAUUAGCUAGUUGGUGAGGUAACGGCUCACCAAGGCAAUGAUGCGUAGCCGACCUGAGAGGGUGAUCGGCCACACUGGGACUGAGACACGGCCCAGACUCCUACGGGAGGCAGCA
This 227-nucleotide ribosomal RNA is filed under the name Bacillus anthracis (anthrax bacterium). Its description in RNAcentral is "partial 16S ribosomal RNA". It matches the Rfam family "Bacterial small subunit ribosomal RNA", at positions 133 to 353 of the family's 1533-position model. The record is from RNAcentral. Lineage: Bacteria; Bacillati; Bacillota; Bacilli; Caryophanales; Bacillaceae.